RNAcentral lists this ribosomal RNA (862 nucleotides) under Cordyceps javanica. Its description in RNAcentral is "LSU rRNA". It matches the Rfam family "Eukaryotic large subunit ribosomal RNA", at positions 48 to 942 of the family's 3401-position model. Lineage: Eukaryota; Fungi; Ascomycota; Sordariomycetes; Hypocreales; Cordycipitaceae. The record is from RNAcentral.
AAGCGGAGGAAAAGAAACCAACAGGGAUUGCCCCAGUAACGGCGAGUGAAGCGGCAACAGCUCAAAUUUGAAAUCUGGCCCUCGGGUCCGAGUUGUAAUUUGUAGAGGAUGCUUUUGGCGAGGUGCCUUCCGAGUUCCCUGGAACGGGACGCCAUAGAGGGUGAGAGCCCCGUCUGGUCGGACACCGAGCCUCUGUAAAGCUCCUUCGACGAGUCGAGUAGUUUGGGAAUGCUGCUCAAAAUGGGAGGUAUAUGUCUUCUAAAGCUAAAUAUUGGCCAGAGACCGAUAGCGCACAAGUAGAGUGAUCGAAAGAUGAAAAGCACUUUGAAAAGAGGGUUAAAAAGUACGUGAAAUUGUUGAAAGGGAAGCGCCUAUGACCAGACUUGAGCCCGGUGAAUCAUCCAGCGUUCUCGCUGGUGCACUUUGCCGGGCCCAGGCCAGCAUCAGUUUGGCGCGGGGGAUAAAGGUGACGGGAAUGUGGCUCCCUCGGGAGUGUUAUAGCCCGCUACGUAAUACCCUGCGCCGGACUGAGGUACGCGCAUUGCAAGGAUGCUGGCGUAAUGGUCAUCAGCGACCCGUCUUGAAACACGGACCAAGGAGUCGUCUUCGUAUGCGAGUGUUCGGGUGUCAAACCCCUACGCGUAAUGAAAGUGAACGCAGGUGAGAGCUUCGGCGCAUCAUCGACCGAUCCUGAUGUUCUCGGAUGGAUUUGAGUAAGAGCAUACGGGGCCGGACCCGAAAGAAGGUGAACUAUGCCUGUAUAGGGUGAAGCCAGAGGAAACUCUGGUGGAGGCUCGCAGCGGUUCUGACGUGCGAAUCGAUCGUCAAAUAUGGGCAUGGGGGCGAAAGACUAAUCGAACCU